CUCCUACUGGGUGAAGAUGUUGGUGUGGUGCGUUAUGUAAAAUAUACAAAUUAUUAUUGGGAAUAACCACGUCUCAGCAGUGCUAGUUCUCAGUUUGGAGAAUGGGAAAUCGAAAGGAUCAGAUUCAGAGACGGCAACUUACUCAAGGUCACAGCAUUUUAAACCCAAAUGAAAUCUCCUAGGCCCUUCAUGCCACACUCAUCCAUCCCUACCUACUUGUGUUGCAACCAAGGGCCCCACUGUAGUGCCUAGGGGAGCAGGUCUAGGGCACAGUGCCAGGCCUGAUUAAUGUCUUCCUUACCAUUUUCCAGCGAGGGGCUGUGAUUAGGCCUAUUUAUAGGGGCCUGGU
Molecule: long non-coding RNA, 349 nt
Filed under: Homo sapiens (human)
Lineage: Eukaryota; Metazoa; Chordata; Mammalia; Primates; Hominidae
Description: HSALNT0226099
Source: RNAcentral